GCCGCUGUAGCUCAGCUGGUAGAGCGCCGGCCUCGUACUUAAGUAGGGAGAGCCGGUGGUCGCGGGUUCAAAUCCCGCCGGCGGCU
This 86-nucleotide transfer RNA is filed under the name Metallosphaera cuprina Ar-4. RNAcentral describes it as "tRNA-Thr". It matches the Rfam family "tRNA". From Rfam's summary of the family: Transfer RNA (tRNA) molecules are approximately 80 nucleotides in length. Their secondary structure includes four short double-helical elements and three loops (D, anti-codon, and T loops). Further hydrogen bonds mediate the characteristic L-shaped molecular structure. tRNAs have two regions of fundamental functional importance: the anti-codon, which is responsible for specific mRNA codon recognition, and the 3' end, to which the tRNAs corresponding amino acid is attached (by aminoacyl-tRNA synthetases). tRNAs cope with the degeneracy of the genetic code in two manners: having more than one tRNA (with a specific anti-codon) for a particular amino acid; and 'wobble' base-pairing, i.e. permitting non-standard base-pairing at the 3rd anti-codon position. Lineage: Archaea; Thermoproteati; Thermoproteota; Thermoprotei; Sulfolobales; Sulfolobaceae. The record is from RNAcentral.